UAUACAGCACCCCUCAUCAACGCCCAAAAAUGGGGCGACGUGCUCCGUCUUGAGUGCACGAGUCAGGAGAAAGCCAGUCAAAGGGGCGCAUGCUGCAAUCGCGGCAUUCCUGCGUGCAUGUCCUGACGUGAGAGCUGGAUGGCAUCUCCUGCCGCUGUAAAUGUCUGUCGGUGAUACAGCACUCCUGUCAAAGCGAAAAAUGAAGGUUUCGCCCGCGCUCCAUUAGAUGGCUCUGUAGGUGUUUCACGCAAGCACACCAUUAGUGACAUUCCUACAACAGGAGCGCCGUAACAGUUCACCAUGAAAAGCUCAUGUGAAAAAGUGUGACACUUUCGCAAGCCUCCAGAAAUCCUGGAACCCAGGCAGCCCAGAGCACAAAGCAGGGGACACCCAGUCCAUCACAGGGCACAUACACACCAUCACACAUCAGACACCAGGUCACCUAGAUGCGUCUUUGAACCGUGGGAUGAAACCUGUACAAACAUGGGGAAGUUUGUUAUUUCUGGGGCCCUAAUCAAAAAAUCACUUCGGGGCCAUGCACCCUACCCCUAGUGUAGUGAAUGUGUUGGUCUACAGGGGGCCCCACACCUCAAGGGUCCUACAAAGUUGCACAGUUUGAGUGGCAGCAAACAGCACCACUGAAAUCCCCGUUGUAAUAAGCCUACAAAAGGAAUGUUGAAGUAUUUGAUUUAUUUACAUUUAAACAGAAAUAUGCAAUGACGGUGACCCACCUCCCCAAGAAAGAACACCCUCAUGUCUCUACUGCUGCUUCAACAGGCCUGGGGUAGCAGUUUCUGAUGCACGUUCUCAGAAUAAAGUGCUACAUAUUUACUGGCCCUGGUCUGUGUGCCUGAUCAUCUUUCAUACUAAAACCAGCAGUGGCUGACAGCGGGGGCCACCGUGGGCAGCCUACAGCCCCCCACCACCCAGCAACAUUGAUAACGUGCAGAUUGGUGUCUCAGGCAUCCAGGCAUGCAGGGCAGGAACGAAGGGCUGCAGCUCGUAAGCGCCGCUUCUGAUUGAUGCUAACAGGGCUUAUAAUGUCGUAACUCUCCCCUCAUGGCUUCUGAAUGCUUAAAAUAGGCCUUUCCAAUAGCUGUAUGUGCUUUGUUGGAUUAACACAUGCCUAUGCCAUACAUAGCACACACUUUGGUUGCCAGACAACAGAAAAUGUUGGACUGUGUGACCCAGUCUUCUACUUUAUAUUUAUUUGGCUUGGAUUCACCCAAUGUAUAUGAGUUUGCUGUGUCCCAGGGGUACAAAAUGCCUAUUUUCUUAUGAGCCCUUUGACUUUUUUCCGGUAAGAAAAGAAACAUAUGAUGUCAUUUCCUCUAGCACUUGUUUCGUUAGCCUCAUGCCUUCUUUACAGAGUGAGCUUAUGUUUCAUGACAUGAUUGAAAUCUGGUUGAUCAACCAUGCUGUUAUUUCCUGGCACAUUUAUUAUUGAUUGAGGACAACAAAUAUAUGGUCAUUUUACUAGCGCAGCAAUAUGGAACUGAUCCUGGAAAGAUGUUUAUAAUCAAUACAUAAAGUCGCAAGUGAAAUGCAUGUCAGUUCGAUGAGCCCGUUUUGGGGGAAUGAGUAGAGAGACAGGCACCAUUUCACGCCUGCUGUCUACUAUGGCCGGGGGUGACAAAUACCCACUAUGGUUUUGUGUCAGAAAACUGCAGGAUGUGAAAGGAAGCUCAGUGCUGUAGUAAAGUUCAGUGCAUGGAAACCUUGCAGGUCACUCCAUUUUGGUCCUUAACACAAAACCACCCGUACAGAUACUUUUGAGGUGUGAUCCUAGCAUGAAAUGACAAUAAUAAAUGUGAAGUCCUGCUGUGUUCAAUGGCCAAAAGCAGAACCGAUGGUAUCAUUUUUCAAAAUAAGUCAAAUUUUGCUACAAAGAUAAUCACCAUUUAUUUUUAAUUAACGAAUCGUUCUCACAUUAUGGCGAUCUGCAAAACACCCUUAAAUAAAAUGCGUUGAGUGCCACCUGACCUCAGAUUUCAGGUUUCCACUGUGCAGAGGAGCCAUGCUCUACUUCAUAAACAGCU
Brienomyrus brachyistius is the source of this 2039-nucleotide long non-coding RNA. RefSeq lists it as uncharacterized. The record is from RefSeq and is a predicted model, not a curated record. NCBI's taxonomy places the organism in Eukaryota, Metazoa, Chordata, Actinopteri, Osteoglossiformes, Mormyridae. The transcript has 3 exons.